This 499-nucleotide ribosomal RNA is filed under the name uncultured bacterium. Its description in RNAcentral is "bacterial SSU rRNA". It matches the Rfam family "Bacterial small subunit ribosomal RNA", at positions 28 to 523 of the family's 1533-position model. The record is from RNAcentral.
GAUGAACGCUAGCGGCAGGCUUAACACAUGCAAGUCGAGGGGUAACAUUGGUGCUUGCACCAGAUGACGACCGGCGCACGGGUGCGUAACGCGUAUGCAACCUACCUUUUACUGGGGGAUAGCCCGAAGAAAUUCGGAUUAAUACCGCAUAACAAUUUUAAACUGCAUGGUUUAAAAUUUAAAACUACGGUGGUAAAAGAUGGGCAUGCGUGACAUUAGCUAGUUGGUGAGGUAACAGCUCACCAAGGCGACGAUGUCUAGGGGUUCUUAAAGGAGGUCCCCCACACUGGUACUGAGACACGGACCAGACUCCUACGGGAGGCAGCAGUGAGGAAUAUUGGUCAAUGGACGGAAGUCUGAACCAGCCAUGCCGCGUGCAGGAUGACUGCCCUAUGGGUUGUAAACUGCUUUUAUACAGGGAGAACACUACUCUUGCGAGAGUAACUGACGGUACUGUAUGAAUAAGGAUCGGCUAACUCCGUGCCAGCCGCCGCGGUAA